GAUGAACGCUGGCGGCAUGCCUAACACAUGCAAGUCGAUCGGUAAGGCUCUUCGGAGUCCCCGAGAGGCGGACGGCUGAGUAACGCGUAGGAACACACCCUGCAGUGAGGGAUAAGACACCGAAAGGUGUUCUAAUACCGCAUACGGUCUUCGGAUUAAAGCAUUUAUGCGCUGAAGGAGUGGCCUGCGUCAUAUUAGAUAGUUGGUGAGGUAAUGGCUCACCAAGUCGAUGAUGUGUAGCUGGUCUGAGAGGAUGAUCAGCCAGACUGGAACUGAGACACGGUCCAGACUCCUACGGGAGGCAGCAGUAAGGAAUAUUUCACAAUGAGCGAAAGCUUGAUGGAGCAAUGCCGCGUGCAGGAUGAAGGCCCUCGGGUUGUAAACUGCUUUUAUAAGAGAAGAUUAUGACGGUAACUUAUGAAUAAGGGACGGCUAACUACGUG
Molecule: ribosomal RNA, 443 nt
Filed under: uncultured bacterium
Lineage: Bacteria
Description: partial 16S ribosomal RNA
Rfam family: Bacterial small subunit ribosomal RNA
Source: RNAcentral